Molecule: ribosomal RNA, 370 nt
Filed under: uncultured bacterium
Lineage: Bacteria
Description: bacterial SSU rRNA
Rfam family: Bacterial small subunit ribosomal RNA
Source: RNAcentral
AACGAACGCUGGCGGCAGGCCUAACACAUGCAAGUCGAACGCUCGUAGCAAUACGAGAGUGGCAGACGGGUGAGUAACACGUGGGAACCUUCCCUAUGGUUCGGAAUAGCUCAGGGAAACUUGGGGUAAUACCGGAUAAGCCCUUCGGGGAAGGAUUUAUCGCCAUUGGAUGGGCCCGCGUAGGAUUAGCUAGUUGGUGAGGUAAAGGCUCACCAAGGCGACGAUCCUUAGCUGGUCUGAGAGGAUGAUCAGCCACACUGGGACUGAGACACGGCCCAGACUCCUACGGGAGGCAGCAGUGGGGAAUAUUGGACAAUGGGCGGCAAGCCUGAUCCAGCCAUGCCGCGUGAGUGACGAAGGUCUUCGGAUU